Long non-coding RNA from Triticum dicoccoides, 1304 nucleotides. RefSeq lists it as uncharacterized. Lineage: Eukaryota; Viridiplantae; Streptophyta; Magnoliopsida; Poales; Poaceae. The record is from RefSeq and is a predicted model, not a curated record. The transcript has 4 exons.
AACCCCCACCCAACACAGACUCAUAGUUCCCCUUCAUCUCAAUCUUCACAGCCAGCGUCCGUUAGCAAAAAUGGAGGAGAACGACGGUGCAGCGCACCCCGAUGGUGGACACAGCGAUAGAUCCAGUGAUAGGUGAAGUCCCCGUGGAUUAUAUCCUUUCCACAAACACGAGUUAGAUACCCUCGUUUCAAAACCCAAUCGACAUUGAUCUGGUCAAAGAAGAGAAUGACAGCAAACCAGCAGAAGACCCCGUGCUGCCGAUGCUACCGGCCACUGGAUGGAUAAGACGUUAGAGAAACAGAUAGGGUAAUCCUUUUCGGGCACCAGUGGAAGGACAUCAGAGUGCGAUAGAGCGUGCAAUUGAAGAAGCAACAAAACUUAGUAAAAGUUGUUUUUUAACCAACUGUUGGCAUGGUGUUCAAUUCUGAACAAGAGGCUUAUCAGUUUUACAACGCAUAUUCAUGGGAGAUUGGAUUCGGCAUCAGGCGGGGAAACAAAUACGUCAAUGAUCAGAAUUGCAAAUCAAAGCAAGACAUUCUCUGUUUCUGCAAGGGCAAGGAAACCAAUGUGUUACCUCCUGAACCUAAGAGAUCUAAGGGGAGGCCAAAAACAAAACGAUUGAGAUCUGCUAUAGAGAUAGCUGUUGAGAAGAAUAAAAGGAAGUGCUCUAUAUGUGGGUCUGACACCCAUGCCACUAAAUCAUGCCCGUGUAUUGGAAGUUGGAGCAGCUGACCCAAUGGAUUCAUACACUCCGGACAUGGUGUAUGGCGGGGAAGCGCAGACUCUUCAAGAGGAAGAUACUACACUUCAAGAUGUCGUUGACACCGCAGGGGAAAUUGAGCAUACACCAAGGCCAAGCAAGACAAGAAAAACAACCCCCCGGUGAACCCAAAUCACCGUCUGCUACACAAAGCUGCAAGAACUGUGGGGUACCCGGCCACUACAAGAGCACAUGCCCAACAUAUGAUGGUCCCAAGAAGCCACCUAAAGAGGUUACAUGCACAAAAUGUAAGCUCGGAGGUCACUACGAAACAACAUGCGGGGGGCAAACAACAUACAAGUGCAAGAAAUGAGUUUGUCAUCGGCAUGCACGUCACUUCAUCGAGAGGUAGAAUCAGGGGGCGACAUGUGCUUUGUCAAGUUAUGCACUUUCUUAUUGUCUGUUAUCAUUCAGAACUAAUUAUUUUUCUUCUCGACUCGUAAUGCUAUCUAAUUAAUGUUCGUUCUUAGGAACUAUUUAGCGGGAAUUAAGCUUUUUUACCAUGUACUUUUUUCAGUGGGAUAUUUGUAAUGCGAGAUUUCUU